UGGUGAACCCUGGGAGUGGCCCACACAGCACCUUCUUCGCAAGGCACUUCCUAUGGCCUCCCUUCCUCCAGUGACCUUCCAGACUGGUGAAUGUUAUUGAUGAAGUCAUUACGUAGCCCAGAAAGCCAGUCGAUAAUUCCCAGGGAUGUUGGUGAUCAGAGGGUGGCCUGGGAGAGGACAAUGAGAGGCUUCCACUGACUGCUGACCUGGAGAAGUGGUCCUGGAGUUCCAGGAGCCCAGGCUUGUGUGAUUAUAACAAAGGCAGAACCAGAGGUGAAUUUUAACAAUGCACCCAAUUGCCAGGGCAUUUGGAGUCAGUGAAGCAGGAUCCCAGAAACUGACCGGCACAGUGGAAGGCGUUCACGCUGCACCUCAGUGCCUGGGAGUAGGCACCCCACAAAUACUCCUUGAAAAAAUAAAACUUCGAUAUGUGGUCAAAUGUAGGGUCUGUAUUGCCCUGCCUGGCUCUAGAUACAACUUCUUCUUCUUACGUAGUCUGUUUGCAUGCACCAGCUAUAAAUAAACAUUUUCCUUGGUCCCC
This is a long non-coding RNA of Homo sapiens (human), 541 nucleotides long. The record is from Ensembl. NCBI's taxonomy places the organism in Eukaryota, Metazoa, Chordata, Mammalia, Primates, Hominidae.